This 73-nucleotide transfer RNA is filed under the name Ursus americanus (American black bear). It matches the Rfam family "tRNA". Rfam says of the family: Transfer RNA (tRNA) molecules are approximately 80 nucleotides in length. Their secondary structure includes four short double-helical elements and three loops (D, anti-codon, and T loops). Further hydrogen bonds mediate the characteristic L-shaped molecular structure. tRNAs have two regions of fundamental functional importance: the anti-codon, which is responsible for specific mRNA codon recognition, and the 3' end, to which the tRNAs corresponding amino acid is attached (by aminoacyl-tRNA synthetases). tRNAs cope with the degeneracy of the genetic code in two manners: having more than one tRNA (with a specific anti-codon) for a particular amino acid; and 'wobble' base-pairing, i.e. permitting non-standard base-pairing at the 3rd anti-codon position. Lineage: Eukaryota; Metazoa; Chordata; Mammalia; Carnivora; Ursidae. RNAcentral also lists the same sequence under 2 other names. The record is from Rfam by way of RNAcentral.
GCCUGGCUGGCUCAGUCAAUGGAGCAUGUGACUCUUAAUCUCAGGGUCGUGAGUUCAAGCCCCACAUUGGGCA